RNAcentral lists this ribosomal RNA (693 nucleotides) under Vibrio parahaemolyticus. RNAcentral describes it as "partial 23S ribosomal RNA". It matches the Rfam family "Bacterial large subunit ribosomal RNA", at positions 2256 to 2925 of the family's 2925-position model. The record is from RNAcentral. Lineage: Bacteria; Pseudomonadati; Pseudomonadota; Gammaproteobacteria; Vibrionales; Vibrionaceae.
GCCUGGUGGGUAGUUUGACUGGGGCGGUCUCCUCCCAAAGAGUAACGGAGGAGCACGAAGGUGGGCUAAUCACGGUUGGACAUCGUGAGGUUAGUGCAAUGGCAUAAGCCCGCUUGACUGCGAGAAUGACAAUUCGAGCAGGUGCGAAAGCAGGUCAUAGUGAUCCGGUGGUUCUGAAUGGAAGGGCCAUCGCUCAACGGAUAAAAGGUACUCCGGGGAUAACAGGCUGAUACCGCCCAAGAGUUCAUAUCGACGGCGGUGUUUGGCACCUCGAUGUCGGCUCAUCACAUCCUGGGGCUGAAGUCGGUCCCAAGGGUAUGGCUGUUCGCCAUUUAAAGUGGUACGCGAGCUGGGUUUAGAACGUCGUGAGACAGUUCGGUCCCUAUCUGCCGUGGGCGUUGGAAGAUUGAAGGGGGCUGCUCCUAGUACGAGAGGACCGGAGUGGACGAACCUCUGGUGUUCGGGUUGUGUCGCCAGACGCAUUGCCCGGUAGCUAAGUUCGGAAUCGAUAACCGCUGAAAGCAUCUAAGCGGGAAGCGAGCCCUGAGAUGAGUCUUCCCUGAUACUUUAAGUAUCCUAAAGGGUUGUCGGAGACUACGACGUUGAUAGGUCAGGUGUGUAAGUGCUGUGAGGCAUUGAGCUAACUGAUACUAAUUGCCCGUGAGGCUUAACCAUACAACACCCAAGGGGUUU